RNAcentral lists this small RNA (685 nucleotides) under uncultured fungus. Its description in RNAcentral is "eukaryotic LSU rRNA". The stretch from base 329 to 482 matches the Rfam family "5.8S ribosomal RNA". Lineage: Eukaryota; Fungi. The record is from RNAcentral.
GCAGCGACUGUAAAGAAAUGCGUAGUUUGCUUGCAAGCAAUGCCACUCAAAUGCUGAGACAUCUGAAUCAGCAGCCUUCUAGGCUCACAGAUCAAAUUGUGGUAACCAUUCUUAUGGGCAAGAUAUGACCGGUCUUAACUAGAGUUAGUUAAGAAUCCACGUUCCGUAGGUGAACCUGCGGAAGGAUCAUUAAAGGUUUCGGGUACCCAGUGCCCAAACUUCAACCCUAUGUUUUAACUAUACAUGUUUCUUUGCCGGUUUCGGCCGGCAGAAGUUUUCUCAAACUCAUUAUUAAAUGUGUCUUCUGAAUCUAAAUUAAAUAAAUUAAAACUUUCAACAACGGAUCUCUUGGUUCUGGCAUCGAUGAAGAACGCAGCGAAAUGCGAUAAGUAAUGUGAAUUGCAGAAUUCAGUGAAUCAUCGAAUCUUUGAACGCAUAUUGCGCCCUUUGGCAUUCCGAAGGGCAUACCUGUUCGAGCGUCAUUACACCCCUCAAAGAUAACUCUUUGGCGUUGGGCAAUGCCUAAAGGCAUGCCUCAAAAUCAGCGAUGGUGAUAUUCAACCACAGGCGCACAAAUGUCGUCUAGCUGGCGGGAUGUUGUCAGUCAAUUGAUGAAUUUCUAAAUGUUGACCUCGGAUCAGGCAGGAAUACCCGCUGAACUUAAGCAUAUCAAUAAGCGGAGGAA